Molecule: ribosomal RNA, 255 nt
Filed under: uncultured bacterium
Lineage: Bacteria
Description: partial 16S ribosomal RNA
Rfam family: Bacterial small subunit ribosomal RNA
Source: RNAcentral
GACGGAGGAUGCAAGUGUUAUCCGGAAUCACUGGGCGUAAAGCGUCUGUAGGUGGUCAAAUAAGUCAACUGUUAAAUCUUGAGGCUCAACCUCAAAAUCGCAGUCGAAACUAUUAGACUAGAGUAUAGUAGGGGUAAAGGGAAUUUCCAGUGGAGCGGUGAAAUGCGUAGAGAUCCGGAAGAACACCGGUGGCGAAGGCGGCCUGCUGGGCAGUUUAGCUGACACUGAGGCGCGACAGCGUGGGGAGCAAACAGG